GAUGAGCGCUGGCGGCGUGCCUAAUACAUGCAAGUCGAGCGAACAGACGAGGAGCUUGCUCCUCUGACGUUAGCGGCGGACGGGUGAGUAACACGUGGAUAACCUACCUAUAAGACUGGGAUAACUUCGGGAAACCGGAGCUAAUACCGGAUAAUAUAUUGAACCGCAUGGUUCAAUAGUGAAAGACGGUUUUGCUGUAACUUAUAGAUGGAUCCGCGCCGCAUUAGCUAGUUGGUAAGGUAACGGCUUACCAAGGCGACGAUGCGUAGCCGACCUGAGAGGGUGAUCGGCCACACUGGAACUGAGACACGGUCCAGACUCCUACGGGAGGCAGCAGUAGGGAAUCUUCCGCAAUGGGCGAAAGCCUGACGGAGCAACGCCGCGUGAGUGAUGAAGGUCUUCGGAUCGUAAAACUCUGUUAUUAGGGAAGAACAAAUGUGUAAGUAACUAUGCACGUCUUGACGGUACCUAAUCAGAAAGCCACGGCUAACUACGUG
RNAcentral lists this ribosomal RNA (497 nucleotides) under uncultured bacterium. Its description in RNAcentral is "partial 16S ribosomal RNA". It matches the Rfam family "Bacterial small subunit ribosomal RNA", at positions 28 to 507 of the family's 1533-position model. The record is from RNAcentral.